RNAcentral lists this ribosomal RNA (422 nucleotides) under uncultured bacterium. Its description in RNAcentral is "bacterial SSU rRNA". It matches the Rfam family "Bacterial small subunit ribosomal RNA", at positions 362 to 776 of the family's 1533-position model. The record is from RNAcentral.
UAUUGCACAAUGGGCGCAAGCCUGAUGCAGCCAUGCCGCGUGUAUGAAGAAGGCCUUCGGGUUGUAAAGUACUUUCAGCGGGGAGGAAGGGAGUGAGGUUAAUAACCUUAUUCAUUGACGUUACCCGCAGAAGAAGCACCGGCUAACUCCGUGCCAGCAGCCGCGGUAAUACGGAGGGUGCAAGCGUUAAUCGGAAUUACUGGGCGUAAAGCGCACGCAGGCGGUCUGUCAAGUCGGAUGUGAAAGCCCCGGGCUCAACCUGGGAACUGCAUUCGAAACUGGCAGGCUGGAGUCUUGUAGAGGGGGGUAGAAUUCCAGGUGUGGCGGUGAAAUGCGUAGAGAUCUGGAGGAAUACCGGUGGCGAAGGCGGCCCCCUGGACAAAGACUGACGCUCAGGUGCGAAAGCGUGGGGAGCAAACAGG